UGUUCUUUAGACCCACAAAGUUCUCAUCAACCCCAUGGCCUUUGUACUCGCCAUUUCCCCUCCCUAUGAUGUCCUUCUCCCCAAAUAUCCACAUAGCUCACACCUUGUCUUUGCCCAAGCCACCUUGUCAGAGAGGUCUCUUCUGAUCUCUCUGGUUUCUUGGCUCCUUCUACAUUUGGGGGUCGCUUUGCACAUAGGGCCCUUUCAUGGAACAGCACUGUCAACCAUACCACCCAAGCCUAUCUCUUUUCACUCUCAAGAACAUGUGUGGUCACAGAAAAACGAGGUGGUGAUUAGCGGGAACACAUAUUUGCCCUCCUAAAUCUUGGUCAUUUAUGAUAAUGAUGAUGAUGACGAACAAUAUUUUCUGAGUGUUUACUAUUAUCCAGGAACUGUUCGAAGGGGUUUUUAUGUAUCAACUCAUUUAACCCUCACAAUUAACUUACAUGGUAAGUACCAUUUAUACCCAUUUUAUAAAUGAGGAAACGAAGGCAAAGUAGGAUUAUGUAGCUCACCCAGGUCAGAGCUGUAAGAGACACAGCUGGGAUUAUAAUCCAGCCAGUCUGACACCAGAGUCCAUGUUUUUAAUCACGGUUCUGCUCAUCGCUAUGCAGAGCUAGCUUCACUUUUGAAGAUAGAGGAGACUAUAGCAGAAGGCCUGAUUAUUAUUAAUAGAUGAGUGAAUAGUUCAAACGCAAAUGAUCUAAAUGCAAACAGUUCUACCGAGAGGGCAUCCCCACCCAAGCAUCUCUACUGAUAUCCCAGAUAUGUCAAAAUGGGGUUCCAACAGAAGGGCUAUAAGUGUCCUCACUAAUGCCCCACAAUUCUGGAAGGCCAUUCCGGCAGUAUCUGUUCCCCCUAAAAAGCACACUCUUCCUAGUAAAUCGUUUGGGAGGAUGGACAAUAUUUUUCUUUUCUCAAAGAAUUGCCUCCCAGGUCGUACAGAUCCCCCUUAAGAGGAGAGCCAGGAAUCUUCUUAUGCCUACUUCCCUCCCUUUGUCCCGCUACACUUCCCCUUGGCCUGAUUCCAUCUGAAAGACACUGCAAACUGUAGAGUCACCACCUUGACCUGACAUCUACUCUUUCUCCACUUUCUCUACCUUGGUGGGCCAGUGGCAGGUUCUUAUUUGACAAUAU
This 1137-nucleotide long non-coding RNA is filed under the name Callithrix jacchus (white-tufted-ear marmoset). RNAcentral describes it as "lncRNA (ENSCJAG00000086035.1)". Lineage: Eukaryota; Metazoa; Chordata; Mammalia; Primates; Cebidae. The record is from RNAcentral.